This is a non-coding RNA of Aedes aegypti (yellow fever mosquito), 73 nucleotides long. NCBI's taxonomy places the organism in Eukaryota, Metazoa, Arthropoda, Insecta, Diptera, Culicidae. The record is from Rfam.
CCUCUCGUAGUGUAGAGGUAACGCGCCCUGUCUAGUGAACAGGGAGUCGUGGGUUCAAUUCUCAUCGAGAAGA